This is a long non-coding RNA of Colossoma macropomum (tambaqui), 304 nucleotides long. RefSeq lists it as uncharacterized. The record is from RefSeq and is a predicted model, not a curated record. NCBI's taxonomy places the organism in Eukaryota, Metazoa, Chordata, Actinopteri, Characiformes, Serrasalmidae. The transcript has 3 exons.
CCGGGUGACGCUUUCAGCUCCCAGAAACGAGGAUUUUCAGCUGCGUAGCUGACUAACGAUAACUACUGACUGGACCGAGUGGAGUGGAGACUGGUUUUACGACUGGAGUCCCGACUGCAGCGGUCAGAGUCUGCUUUUAAAAGAUGUUUCUCAUCAGAAAUCAUCUGAAGCUGAGCAACUGGAACAUUCUCUCUUUGGGCCUCAUCCAGUAUGGUGGCAGUCCAUAUCAUUUUCAACACUCAACUGUGCUCUUACACAAGUGGCCUCAUCCUGAUGCUUCUUUCAUUACACUGAAAAUCAUUGU